Molecule: ribosomal RNA, 480 nt
Filed under: uncultured bacterium
Lineage: Bacteria
Description: partial 16S ribosomal RNA
Rfam family: Bacterial small subunit ribosomal RNA
Source: RNAcentral
GACGAACGCUGGCGGCGUGCUUAACACAUGCAAGUCGAGCGGAAAGGCCCUUUCGGGGGUACUCGAGCGGCGAACGGGUGAGUAACACGUGAGUAAUCUGCCCCUGGCUUUGGGAUAGCCACCGGAAACGGUGAUUAAUACCGGAUACGACCACUUCUCGCAUGGGAUGGUGGUGGAAAGUUUUUCGGCCAGGGAUGUGCUCGCGGCCUAUCAGCUUGAUGGUGAGGUAAUGGCUCACCAUGGCUUCGACGGGUAGCCGGCCUGAGAGGGGGACCGGUCACACUGGGACUGCGACACGGCCCAGACUCCUACGGGAGGCAGCAGUGGGGAAUAUUGGACAAUGGGCGGAAGCCUGAUCCUGCAACGCCGCGUGAGGGAUGACGGCCUUCGGGUUGUAAACCUCUUUCAGCAGGGACGAAGCGCAAGUGACGGUACCUGCAGAAGAAGCACCGGCCAACUACGUGCCAGCCGCCGCCGUAA